Long non-coding RNA from Tripterygium wilfordii, 1287 nucleotides. RefSeq lists it as uncharacterized. The record is from RefSeq and is a predicted model, not a curated record. Lineage: Eukaryota; Viridiplantae; Streptophyta; Magnoliopsida; Celastrales; Celastraceae. The transcript is spliced from 3 exons.
AAAAAAAAUUUACAUAUGGCGGUGGUAUUCAUAUAUGACCGCCAUAGGGCAUCGAGGCUCUUCCUGUUUCCUUGUUUGGUUCCGGGAGUUAUAUAUGACCGCCAUAGAGUUUUCCUUUUUCACUAAUCUCUGGUUUUCUGCUUUCCUUGAUUGGCUGCUGGCAAAUCGUUUGGGUAUUCAACUUUCUUAUGUGAUCUCGUGUUUGACGACAUUCAUUCUCUAGCGUUUCCUUUCACUAAUCUCUCCUUUUCAGAUUUCGUUGUUUGGUUGUUGGAAAUUAUUGGGGAAAAGUUCGCCGUGAACUUAGGGUUUUCGUGAUUGUUUGGUUUUGAAUUUCUUUUCAAAUAGACGGCGUCCUAUCUGGUUUUCGGCUUUCCUUGAUUGGCUACGGGCAAAUCUUUUGGGUAUUGAACUUUCCUAUGUGAUCUAGUGUUUGACGACACUCUCUAGGGUUUUCUUUCACUAAUAUCUCGUUUUCAGAUUUCCUUGUUUGGUUGCUGGGAAUUAUUGGGGAAAAGUUCACCGUAAACUUAGGGUUUUCGUGAUUGUUUGGUUUUGAAUUUCUUUUCAAACAGAGGGCGUCCUAUCUUCGUAAAAUUCCUUCAAGAAAUCAUAUAUAAACUCAAAAUUUGUGUUCUAGAUUGACUACUAUUUCUAGUUCAAUCGUUGUAGAUGUUAUUUUAUUUAGAUGAAAGACACAGUUGCUCUUAAUAAAAUCUUAGAUGAUUUCCAGUUGUCUGUUGAAGUUGUUUGUUAACCUUAAUGAUUCACUCAAAUAUGUUUUUUGCAGCGUAGAUGCUUAUUAUUUGGGAAUGUCCUGUCUGUGGCCUAAGGUUGUUUUGUAUGGCACUAACGCUCUCAGUUGUUUAAUCACGUCGCGUGUGUUUUGGUGGGCGUGAGAAUUGAUAUUGUCUUCAAAGUGGUGAUAGGAUACUGGAAUGCUUUGGAUACAAAAAUGAGUAUCAAAAAUGCAUCGAGCAAAGCAUAAAUAUGCAGAAAAGCUGCUGCAGGAAGUAGAUGGUUACGAGACAACUGGCAUUGGUGAUCGUUCGAAGCUGCUUGAUAAGGUGCAUUCAUUGUAUAACUGCAUGAGUGUUUGUUCUGAUUAAUCCUCAUAAAAUUGAUGACAACUGGCAUUAUUGAUCGUUUUAAGCUGCUUGAUAAGGUGCAUUCGUUGUAUAACUGCAUGAGUGUUUGUUCUGAUUAAUCCUCGUAAAAUUGAUUUCAUUUAUAUUGUGCAUAAACAAUGCUUUGAUCUCUCUUCUUGAAUAUGUGUUUCUUUUUUCA